RNAcentral lists this ribosomal RNA (198 nucleotides) under uncultured bacterium. RNAcentral describes it as "partial 16S ribosomal RNA". It matches the Rfam family "Bacterial small subunit ribosomal RNA", at positions 328 to 539 of the family's 1533-position model. The record is from RNAcentral.
ACGCUCGACACCUACGGGAGGCGGCAGUGGGGAAUAUUGCACAAUGGGGGAAACCCUGAUGCAGCGACGCCGCGUGGAGGAAGAAGGUCUUCGGAUUGUAAACUCCUGUUGUUGGGGAAAAAGAGGAUGGUACCCAACAAGGAAGUGACGGCUAACUACGUGCCAGCAGCUGCGGUAAUCUGAGCGGGCUGGCAAGGC